ACCUCAUCCAGAGGGGCUGAGGGAUACGGCCCGAUGACGCCCCGGCAACCACCCCGCGCGCUCACCGCUGAGCGACCCGGCGGGGCAGGUGCCAAUUCCGUCCCCGCCGCAGGGUGCGAUGCGGGGAAAGAUGAGAG
Molecule: non-coding RNA, 137 nt
Filed under: Micromonospora nigra
Lineage: Bacteria; Bacillati; Actinomycetota; Actinomycetes; Micromonosporales; Micromonosporaceae
Description: SAM-I sequence
Rfam family: SAM riboswitch aptamer (S box leader)
About the family: The SAM riboswitch is found upstream of a number of genes which code for proteins involved in methionine or cysteine biosynthesis in Gram-positive bacteria. The SAM riboswitch acts at the level of transcription termination control.
Source: Rfam by way of RNAcentral